CGGGCAGUAGCUCACUGGUGCAGCUCUCGCUUCGUAUGCGGGAAGACCUAGGUUCGAUUCCCGGCUGCUUAC
This is a transfer RNA of Toxocara canis (dog roundworm), 72 nucleotides long. It matches the Rfam family "tRNA". Rfam says of the family: Transfer RNA (tRNA) molecules are approximately 80 nucleotides in length. The record is from Rfam. NCBI's taxonomy places the organism in Eukaryota, Metazoa, Nematoda, Chromadorea, Rhabditida, Toxocaridae.